GGACCCGCACAAGUAGUGGAGCAUGUGGUUUAAUUCGAAGAUACGCGCAGAACCUUACCAACACUUGACAUGUUCGUCGCGACUCUAAGAGAUUAGAGUUUUCGGUUCGGCCGGACGAAACACAGGUGCUGCAUGGCUGUCGUCAGCUCGUGUCGUGAGAUGUUGGGUUAAGUCCCGCAACGAGCGCAACCCUCACUUUUAGUUGCCAUCAUUAAGUUGGGCACUCUGAAAGAACUGCCAGUGAUAAGCUGGAGGAAGGUGGGGAUGACGUCAAGUCCUCAUGGCCCCUUACGAGUAGGGCUACACACGUGCUACAAUGGGGGAAUACAGACGGACGCUAAGCCGCGAGUGGUG
This 354-nucleotide ribosomal RNA is filed under the name uncultured bacterium. Its description in RNAcentral is "bacterial SSU rRNA". It matches the Rfam family "Bacterial small subunit ribosomal RNA", at positions 917 to 1267 of the family's 1533-position model. The record is from RNAcentral.